AAUCAACGCUGGCGGCGUGCCUCAGACAUGCAAGUCGAACGCGAAAGUCCCCUUCGGGGGAUGAGUAGAGUGGCGCACGGGUGAGUAACACGUAGGUAAUCUACCUUCGGGUGGGGAAUAACAACCGGAAACGGUUGCUAAUACCGCAUAAUGCAGCGGCACCUAAUGGUGACAGUUGUUAAAGCGGGGGAUCGCAAGACCUCGCGCCUGAAGAGGAGCCUGCGGCGGAUUAGCUAGUUGGCAGGGUAACGGGCUACCAAGGCGACGAUCCGUAGCCGGCCUGAGAGGGCGGUCGGCCACACUGACACUGACAUACGGGUCAGACUCCUACGGGAGGCAGCAGUCGGGAAUUUUGGGCAAUGGGCGAAAGCCUGUCCCAGCAACGCCGCGUGAAGGAUGAAAUCCCUCGGGAUGUAAACUUCGCAAGAACGGGGAGAAUAAGCCGGUGUCAACACCACCGGCGAUGACGGUACCGUUUGUAAGCUCCGGCUAACUCCGUGACAGCAGCCGCGGUAAUAC
This 519-nucleotide ribosomal RNA is filed under the name uncultured bacterium. RNAcentral's name for it is "bacterial SSU rRNA". It matches the Rfam family "Bacterial small subunit ribosomal RNA", at positions 32 to 526 of the family's 1533-position model. The record is from RNAcentral.